Molecule: long non-coding RNA, 907 nt
Organism: Gasterosteus aculeatus aculeatus (three-spined stickleback)
Lineage: Eukaryota; Metazoa; Chordata; Actinopteri; Perciformes; Gasterosteidae
Source: Ensembl
GAGGCCGGGACUCGGUCGCCUCUCCCUGCCUGCUCAGCGAGGGAGGACCUGCAGGGGAGGAGGAACCAAACAUCAACAAGCGGCCCGGACGCUAGAAGCCCAAGAAGAAGAGAUGAGGAAAGCGCUCGGAGGACGCGCUUCCGGAAAAACAAACCAUAAUGGAAAAUGUCUCUAAAAGCGGAGAGAAAGACGGAGCACUCGUAUGGAAUCCGCCUAAAAGUCUGGCUCUGUCAUCAAUGGCCACCUGGUGGAGUGGAUUUGGCCCCGAUCCCUGCCCGUCUUAUCAGGAGCGGUAGGCUCUCUAAUCUGACGCCCAUGCAGCUGUUCCCCACUUGGGGCAGGCCUCCUGUUUAGCUCUAAAAAUACCCCAGUAGCCUCUUCUGCAGAGGAGAGCUUCACCGUACCUCCAUCAGCCGGAGCACACAUACGGAACAGAACUCGAGCACCAGGGUGUAGCCAGUCAUAGUUUACGUCCAACGCAUAUCAGGUUGCCAUUAGAAGGACAGGACUUUCUAAUUGAUACCUGAUGUCUGCGGCAGGAGGAAAUGUCCAGCAAAUGCAAAAUUUACAAAGCCAGUCCAGUUGUUUAAUGUCGUGGUUUUCUACCACAGUCGAACAAAACUGAUUCCCCAACCUACACGCACAGACAUUUAACGUGAUCUACGGGAAAAGGCUGGACAGGAAAGACCGCAAGUCAGGGGAGGGUGUCUAAUGAUAAACAGAAAGCUGUAAACAAAACCAGCUGAAAGUCCUCAGAAAAGUGUUUUUCUAAUGCGGUAACAAUGGAGGGACCGUUGCUGUCAAAGAGCCAGCAGCUACCUCAUACUGUCCAGACACACACACACACACCCAACAACACAUGACAUCUACUGUAAACACAUACUUCAUGAAUAAAAUAAUUCCCUUC